GGCUGGGUAGCUCAGCCGGUUAGAGCGCACGACUCAUAAUCGUGAGGUCGGGAGUUCGAGUCUCCCCCCAGCUA
Transfer RNA from Gemmatimonas aurantiaca T-27, 74 nucleotides. It matches the Rfam family "tRNA". Rfam says of the family: Transfer RNA (tRNA) molecules are approximately 80 nucleotides in length. Lineage: Bacteria; Pseudomonadati; Gemmatimonadota; Gemmatimonadia; Gemmatimonadales; Gemmatimonadaceae. The record is from Rfam.